This 674-nucleotide ribosomal RNA is filed under the name uncultured Zoogloea sp. RNAcentral's name for it is "bacterial SSU rRNA". It matches the Rfam family "Bacterial small subunit ribosomal RNA", at positions 94 to 764 of the family's 1533-position model. The record is from RNAcentral. Lineage: Bacteria; Pseudomonadati; Pseudomonadota; Betaproteobacteria; Rhodocyclales; Zoogloeaceae.
AGUGGCGAACGGGUGAGUAAUGCAUCGGAACGUACCGUGUAGUGGGGGAUAACGUAGCGAAAGUUACGCUAAUACCGCAUACGCCCUGAGGGGGAAAGUGGGGGACCGCAAGGCCUCACGCUAUAUGAGCGGCCGAUGUCGGAUUAGCUAGUUGGUAGGGUAAAGGCCUACCAAGGCGACGAUCCGUAGCGGGUCUGAGAGGAUGAUCCGCCACACUGGGACUGAGACACGGCCCACACUCCUACGGGAGGCAGCAGUGGGGAAUUUUGGACAAUGGGCGCAAGCCUGAUCCAGCCAUGCCGCGUGAGUGAAGAAGGCCUUCGGGUUGUAAAGCUCUUUCAGACGGAAAGAAAUCUCUCGGGAUAACACCCUGGGAGGAUGACGGUACCGUAAGAAUAAGCACCGGCUAACUACGUGCCAGCAGCCGCGGUAAUACGUAGGGUGCGAGCGUUAAUCGGAAUUACUGGGCGUAAAGCGUGCGCAGGCGGUUAUGUAAGACAGAUGUGAAAUCCCCGGGCUCAACCUGGGAACUGCAUUAGUGACUGCAUAGCUGGAGUACGGCAGAGGGGGAUGGAAUUCCGCGUGUAGCAGUGAAAUGCGUAGAUAUGCGGAGGAACACCGAUGGCGAAGGCACUCCCCUGGGUCUGUACUGACGCUCAUGCACGAAAGCGUGG